AAAAAGGUCCUUUUCAGGACCGACCCUUAGUAUCAUUUCAAUGAAU
Molecule: non-coding RNA, 46 nt
Organism: Phlebotomus papatasi
Lineage: Eukaryota; Metazoa; Arthropoda; Insecta; Diptera; Psychodidae
Source: Rfam